GGUGAACGCUGGCGGUAGGCCUAACACAUGCAAGUCGAACGGCAGCACAGUAAGAGCUUGCUCUUACGGGUGGCGAGUGGCGGACGGGUGAGGGAUACAUCGGAAUCUACUUUUUCGUGGGGGAUAACGUAGGGAAACUUACGCUAAUACCGCAUACGACCUACGGGUGAAAGCAGGGGAUCUUCGGACCUUGCGCGAUUGAAUGAGCCGAUGUCGGAUUAGCUAGUUGGCGGGGUAAAGGCCCACCAAGGCGACGAUCCGUAGCUGGUCUGAGAGGAUGAUCAGCCACACUGGAACUGAGACACGGUCCAGACUCCUACGGGAGGCAGCAGUGGGGAAUAUUGGACAAUGGGCGCAAGCCUGAUCCAGCCAUACCGCGUGGGUGAAGAAGGCCUUCGGGUUGUAAAGCCCUUUUGUUGGGAAAGAAAAGCAGCAGGUUAAUACCCCGCUGUUCUGACGGUACCCAAAGAAUAAGCACCGGCUAACUUCAUG
This 492-nucleotide ribosomal RNA is filed under the name uncultured bacterium. Its description in RNAcentral is "partial 16S ribosomal RNA". It matches the Rfam family "Bacterial small subunit ribosomal RNA", at positions 28 to 507 of the family's 1533-position model. The record is from RNAcentral.